CUACUUAGAGCUUUGUGGUUCUUCGCUGGCAUGAACGUCUUGUAUGUGUUUGUUUAGUUUGUGAGGUGCUUCUUACCUUUUAGCUGGUGGUUGUGAUUCCGGUGCUUGAGGCAUGUGUCUUCUUGUUUCGUGGUGACUCUGAUCUCCUGAUGAUUAUUCUUUCUCUCACCUUUUUGGGGUUUUUGGGUUUUUUGGGUUGGUGCUUGAUCACGCUCCUUUAAGAUCGUAGGAAUGUUUUGUCUUAUAUUUUACUCCCUCUGCUCCAAAAUAGAUGAUGUUUUAGAAAUGUUAUGAUGUUUCAAAAUAGAUGAUGUUUUGAUAUUUUAUAUUAAUUUAAAUUUUAUUGAAAACUGUGUGACCAGUGAUGUUUUAUAUUUAUUUUUAAGGAUUGGAUGAAUUAAUUUUGGUUUAUAUUUUUAAUGUUUUUUUAGAAAAAAAGUGUAUACCUUAAUUCUUGUGCAUACACUCAAAACAUCAAAUAUUUUGGAACAGAAGGAAUAUCCUUUUAUCUUUUCUAACAUCUGCUUGUUCUAUCCAUGAUAUUAUUGGUACGAUGAGAUAAGUUAGUUUUCUUUGUUGAUCUUUUUCCAGCUCCAAACUUUUAUUGAGUUAGUGUUACUAUAGUAUU
RNAcentral lists this long non-coding RNA (628 nucleotides) under Brassica napus (rape). RNAcentral's name for it is "long non-coding RNA (BNAP_LNC011839)". Lineage: Eukaryota; Viridiplantae; Streptophyta; Magnoliopsida; Brassicales; Brassicaceae. The record is from RNAcentral.